CGAACGGGUGAGUAACGCGUGAGCAACCUGCCUAUGACAGUGGGAUAGCCUCGGGAAACCGGGAUUAAUACCGCAUAAAAUCGUAGAAACACAUGUUUUAACGGUCAAAGAUUUAUAGGUCAUAGAUGGGCUCGCGUCUGAUUAGCUAGUUGGUGAGAUAACAGCCCACCAAGGCGACGAUCAGUAGCCGGUCUGAGAGGAUGAACGGCCACAUUGGAACUGAGACACGGUCCAA
This 235-nucleotide ribosomal RNA is filed under the name uncultured Eubacteriales bacterium. Its description in RNAcentral is "uncultured Clostridiales bacterium partial 16S ribosomal RNA". It matches the Rfam family "Bacterial small subunit ribosomal RNA", at positions 99 to 334 of the family's 1533-position model. The record is from RNAcentral. Lineage: Bacteria; Bacillati; Bacillota; Clostridia; Eubacteriales.